UGGUGGGUAGUUUGACUGGGGCGGUCUCCUCCUAAAGAGUAACGGAGGAGCACGAAGGUUGGCUAAUCCUGGUCGGACAUCAGGAGGUUAGUGCAAUGGCAUAAGCCAGCUUGACUGCGAGCGUGACGGCGCGAGCAGGUGCGAAAGCAGGUCAUAGUGAUCCGGUGGUUCUGAAUGGAAGGGCCAUCGCUCAACGGAUAAAAGGUACUCCGGGGAUAACAGGCUGAUACCGCCCAAGAGUUCAUAUCGACGGCGGUGUUUGGCACCUCGAUGUCGGCUCAUCACAUCCUGGGGCUGAAGUAGGUCCCAAGGGUAUGGCUGUUCGCCAUUUAAAGUGGUACGCGAGCUGGGUUUAGAACGUCGUGAGACAGUUCGGUCCCUAUCUGCCGUGGGCGCUGGAGAAUUGAGGGGGGCUGCUCCUAGUACGAGAGG
RNAcentral lists this ribosomal RNA (432 nucleotides) under Escherichia coli. RNAcentral describes it as "partial 23S ribosomal RNA". It matches the Rfam family "Bacterial large subunit ribosomal RNA", at positions 2259 to 2690 of the family's 2925-position model. Lineage: Bacteria; Pseudomonadati; Pseudomonadota; Gammaproteobacteria; Enterobacterales; Enterobacteriaceae. The record is from RNAcentral.